GAUGAACGCUGGCGGCGUGCCUAAUACAUGCAAGUCGAGCGAACAGACGAGGAGCUUGCUCCUCUGACGUUAGCGGCGGACGGGUGAGUAACACGUGGAUAACCUACCUAUAAGACUGGGAUAACUUCGGGAAACCGGAGCUAAUACCGGAUAACAUGUUGAACCGCAUGGUUCAACAGUGAAAGACGGUCUUGCUGUCACUUAUAGAUGGAUCCGCGCCGCAUUAGCUAGUUGGUAAGGUAACGGCUUACCAAGGCAACGAUGCGUAGCCGACCUGAGAGGGUGAUCGGCCACACUGGAACUGAGACACGGUCCAGACUCCUACGGGAGGCAGCAGUAGGGAAUCUUCCGCAAUGGGCGAAAGCCUGACGGAGCAACGCCGCGUGAGUGAUGAAGGUCUUCGGAUCGUAAAACUCUGUUAUUAGGGAAGAACAAAUGUGUAAGUAACUGUGCACGUCUUGACGGUACCUAAUCAGAAAGCCACGGCUAACUACGUG
This 497-nucleotide ribosomal RNA is filed under the name uncultured bacterium. RNAcentral's name for it is "partial 16S ribosomal RNA". It matches the Rfam family "Bacterial small subunit ribosomal RNA", at positions 28 to 507 of the family's 1533-position model. The record is from RNAcentral.